Molecule: ribosomal RNA, 448 nt
Filed under: uncultured bacterium
Lineage: Bacteria
Description: partial 16S ribosomal RNA
Rfam family: Bacterial small subunit ribosomal RNA
Source: RNAcentral
UGGGGAAUUUUGGACAAUGGGCGAAAGCCUGAUCCAGCAAUGCCGCGUGUGUGAAGAAGGCCUUCGGGUUGUAAAGCACUUUUGUCCGGAAAGAAAUCCUUGGCUCUAAUACAGUCGGGGGAUGACGGUACCGGAAGAAUAAGCACCGGCUAACUACGUGCCAGCAGCCGCGGUAAUACGUAGGGUGCAAGCGUUAAUCGGGAAUUACUGGGCGUAAAGCGUGCGCAGGCGGUUUGCUAAGACCGAUGUGAAAUCCCCGGGCUCAACCUGGGAACUGCAUUGGUGACUGGCAGGCUAGAGUAUGGCAGAGGGGGGUAGAAUUCCACGUNUAGCAGUGAAAUGCGUAGAGAUGUGGAGGAAUACCGAUGGCGAAGGCAGCCCCCCUGGGCAAUACUGACGCUCAUGCACGAAAGCGUGGGGAGCAAACAGGAUUAGAUACCCUGGUAGU